AGCGAACAUUGGCGGUAGGCUUAACACAUGCAAGUCGAGCGAGGCGUAAUAGUCGAGCGGCGAACGGGUGAGUAAUACAUGGAAAUCUACCCUGAAGUGGGGGAUAACGUUCAGAAAUGGACGCUAAUACCGUAUAAUCCAUAUUGGGAAAACGUUGCAGCGCUUUAGGAUGAGUCCAUGGCUGAUUAGCUAGUUGGUGAGGUAAUGGCUCACCAAGGCGACGAUCAGUAGCUGGUCUGAGAGGAUGACCAGCCACACUGGAACUGAGACACGGUCCAGACUCCUACGGGAGGCAGCAGUGGGGAAUCUUGCGCAAUGGGGGCAACCCUGACGCAGCCAUACCGCGUGAGUGAUGAAGGUCUUCGGAUUGUAAAGCUCUUUCGGCGGGGACGACGAUGACGGUACCCGCAAAAGAAGUCACGGCUAACUUCGUGCCAGCCGCCGCCGUAA
RNAcentral lists this ribosomal RNA (450 nucleotides) under uncultured bacterium. RNAcentral's name for it is "partial 16S ribosomal RNA". It matches the Rfam family "Bacterial small subunit ribosomal RNA", at positions 29 to 523 of the family's 1533-position model. The record is from RNAcentral.